UACGUAGGGGGCAAGCGUUGUCCGGAAUUAUUGGGCGUAAAGAGCGUGUAGGCGGCCAGAUAAGUCCGCUGUGAAAUCUCGAGGCUCAACUUCGAGCUGUCGGUGGAAACUAUCUGGCUAGAGUCCGGAAGAGGAGAAUGGAAUUCCUGGUGUAGCGGUGAAAUGCGCAGAUAUCAGGAGGAACACCAACGGCGAAGGCAGCUCGCUGGGACGGUACUGACACUGAGGCGCGAAAGCGUGGGGAGCGAACAGG
This 253-nucleotide ribosomal RNA is filed under the name uncultured bacterium. RNAcentral's name for it is "partial 16S ribosomal RNA". It matches the Rfam family "Bacterial small subunit ribosomal RNA", at positions 524 to 776 of the family's 1533-position model. The record is from RNAcentral.